UACAGAGGGUGCAAGCGUUAAUCGGAAUUACUGGGCGUAAAGCGUGCGCAGACGGUUGCGUAAGUCAGAUGUGAAAGCCCCGGGCUCAACCUGGGAAUUGCAUUUGAGACUGCGUAGCUAGGGUGCGGAAGAGGGAAGCGGAAUUUCCGGUGUAGCGGUGAAAUGCGUAGAUAUCGCCUGGAACGCCGAAGGUGAAAACAGUCUGCUGGGGGCGUGCCGACGCUGAGACACGAAAGCCAGGGGAGCGAACGGG
This 253-nucleotide ribosomal RNA is filed under the name uncultured bacterium. RNAcentral's name for it is "partial 16S ribosomal RNA". It matches the Rfam family "Bacterial small subunit ribosomal RNA", at positions 524 to 776 of the family's 1533-position model. The record is from RNAcentral.